GACUGGCGUCCCGGAGCUCCGGGCGCCCCUCGACCGCCACCGGCAUCACCUGGGCCGCUACGCCGCAGUGCCUGGCCUGCUGUCCCCGAGCCCGGAGCUUCCCGUCUGCUCCCGGGCGAAAUCGGAGACAAUUUCAACUCUGAGAAGAGCAACCGAGCAAGCGAAAUAAACUGUACACCACCAUGCACGUGCGACCAAAGUCUCUCGGCCCUCCUCCAUUUCGAAUACUUCUCUCCUUAUUUCCGAAAUACGCAUUGUUUUAAUACUUCAUCUCAGUUCCAAUAGAAUGGAGAUAUUCUUAACUGUGAACUUUGCAGACAAUCAAAACCUUUUUUAAAGCCAUCCCACCGUGACAACAAAGCGAUUAAGAUGUUUUCUAUUUCGUAAAUACCAUUUAAAAUUGCUAUAUUUUAUGCUCUGGGUUCUACACUGUCUUAUUUGCACACUAUUUUGUGUCUGAUUUAAUCUAUAACCGAAAACAUAAUGUAUUAAGUGAAUACAUAUUUGCUCAGCUGAUAAGCUUUUUUUAAUA
RNAcentral lists this long non-coding RNA (532 nucleotides) under Mus caroli (Ryukyu mouse). Its description in RNAcentral is "lncRNA (MGP_CAROLIEiJ_G0002756.1)". The record is from RNAcentral. Lineage: Eukaryota; Metazoa; Chordata; Mammalia; Rodentia; Muridae.